UCUCUGUUCGUAUAGUGGACAGUAUCUCCGCCGCUCACGCGGAAGACCGGGGUUCGAUUCCCGACGGGGAG
Molecule: non-coding RNA, 71 nt
Organism: Ameiurus melas (black bullhead)
Lineage: Eukaryota; Metazoa; Chordata; Actinopteri; Siluriformes; Ictaluridae
Source: the annotation of a GenBank genome assembly